RNAcentral lists this ribosomal RNA (484 nucleotides) under uncultured bacterium. RNAcentral's name for it is "partial 16S ribosomal RNA". It matches the Rfam family "Bacterial small subunit ribosomal RNA", at positions 30 to 507 of the family's 1533-position model. The record is from RNAcentral.
AUUGAACGCUGGCGGCAGGCCUAACACAUGCAAGUCGAGCGGAUGAAGGGAGCUUGCUCCUGGAUUCAGCGGCGGACGGGUGGGUAAUGCCUAGGAAUCUGCCUGGUAGUGGGGGAUAACGUCCGGAAACGGGCGCUAAUACCGCAUACGUCCUGAGGGAGAAAGUGGGGGAUCUUCGGACCUCACGCUAUCAGAUGAGCCUAGGUCGGAUUAGCUAGUUGGUGGGGUAAAGGCCUACCAAGGCGACGAUCCGUAACUGGUCUGAGGGGAUGAUCAGUCACACUGGAACUGAGACACGGUCCAGACUCCUACGGGAGGCAGCAGUGGGGAAUAUUGGACAAUGGGCGAAAGCCUGAUCCAGCCAUGCCGCGUGUGUGAAGAAGGUCUUCGGAUUGUAAAGCACUUUAAGUUGGGAGGAAGGGCAGUAAGUUAAUACCUUGCUGUUUUGACGUUACCAACAGAAUAAGCACCGGCUAACUUCGUG